Molecule: long non-coding RNA, 234 nt
Organism: Chinchilla lanigera (long-tailed chinchilla)
Lineage: Eukaryota; Metazoa; Chordata; Mammalia; Rodentia; Chinchillidae
Exons: 3
Source: RefSeq, a predicted model, not a curated record
CAUUACUGAGUAUGGAGCUGGCACUGUGAGAGGUCAGAUCUUGUAAGCACACAUUCCUUUUAAAAUGAGAGACCUGUCAAAAGAAUGCAGCAUGCCUCUGAGUGGAGUUAAUGCUGUUUUGAGACCCUUUCAUCCCCCUACAUGCUUCUUCCAUGUUGAUGCUGACAUCUCAUGAAUAGCUGCAGUUAAAACAUUUGGUUUGGCACUCGGGAGGCUGAGGCAGGAGGAUCAUUG